UCCUGGCUCAGGAUGAACGCUGGCGGCAUGCCUAAGAUAUGCAAGUCGAGCGAUUCUACUCGAACCUCUCGUAGGAUUGAGUAGAAAGCGGCGGACGGCUGAGUAAUACAUAGGAAUCUCCCCCUUUCUGGGAAAUAGUAUCGAGAAAUCGAUAAUAAUGUCCCAUGGUCCCCACCUUCUGGUUGGGUAAAGGACGUAACUGUUCGGAAAGGGAUGAGCUUAUGGCCUAUCAGGUAGUUGGUGAGGUAAAGGCUCACCAAGCCGAUGACGGGUAGCUGGCUUUAGUGAGUGGUCAGCCAGAGGGGGACUGAGACACGGCCCCCACUCCUACGGGAGGCAGCAAUUAGGAAUAGUCGGCAAUGGGCGAAAGCCUGACCGCGCAAUGCCGCGUGUAGGAAGAAGUUCGAAAGAAUGUAAACUACUGUGGUAGGGGAAGAAGUUAGUUUAGCACAUCGAAUGUUCGUGAUAAGAAGUGAGGGGUUGACGGUACCCUACUAGAAAGGAGCCGCUAACUUCGUGCCAGAAGCGUCGGUAAUACGGGGGCUCCAAGCGUUAUCCGGUGUUAUUGGGCGUAAAGCGUGUGUAGGCGGAUAUAAUAGUCAUAUGUUAAAUCAUCUCGCUCAACGGGAUGGCCGCAUAUGAAACGUUAUAUCUAGAGGUAGGUAGAGGUUAGCGGAACUCAUGGUGUAGCAGUGGAAUGCAUUGAUAUCAUGGGGAACACCAAAGGCGAAGGCAGCUAACUGGGCCUUAUCUGACGCUGAGACACGAAAGCGUGGGUAGCGAACGGGAUUAGAUACCCCGGUAGUCCACGCCGUAAACGAUGUGCACUAAUCAUUGGGAGUUUCGACCCUCUCAGUGUUGUAGCUAACGCGUUAAGUGCACCGCCUGGGAAGUACGAGCGCAAGCUUAAAACUCAAAGGAAUAGACGGGGAUCCGCACAAGCGGUGGAGCAUGCGGUUUAAUUCGAUAAUAAGCGAGGAACCUCACCAGGGUUAGAUAUUCUGCUGCAUACUUUUGGAAACAUUAGUAGCCUUCGAGGGUGCAGAACAGGUGUUGCAUGGUCGUCGUCAGCUCGUGCUGUAAAGUGUUCCAUUAAGUUGGGUAACGAGCGCAACCCCUACUGUGUGUUACAAGUGUCACACGGAACUGCCCCGCACCUUUUCUUGAAGCAGUCUUGAGACUGUUGGAUAAUUCAAUUUAUUUAGAAUUGUCUGAUAAGUUUAAAGAAAAGGUGCGGGGAGGAAGGUGGGGAUGACGUCAGAUCAGCAUGGCCCUUGACGCCCUGGGCGACACGCGUGCUACAAUGGCCGGUACAACGAGUUGCGAUAUCGCAAGAUGGAGCUAAUCUCUAAAAACCGGUCCCAGUUCGGAUUGAGGUCUGCAACUCGACCUCAUGAAGUUGGAAUCGCUAGUAAUCCCGAAUCAGCCAGUCGGGGGAAUACGUUCCCGGAUC
This 1453-nucleotide ribosomal RNA is filed under the name uncultured Parcubacteria group bacterium. RNAcentral describes it as "bacterial SSU rRNA". It matches the Rfam family "Bacterial small subunit ribosomal RNA", at positions 17 to 1380 of the family's 1533-position model. The record is from RNAcentral.